Poecile atricapillus (Black-capped chickadee) is the source of this 246-nucleotide long non-coding RNA. RefSeq lists it as uncharacterized. NCBI's taxonomy places the organism in Eukaryota, Metazoa, Chordata, Aves, Passeriformes, Paridae. The transcript is spliced from 2 exons. The record is from RefSeq and is a predicted model, not a curated record.
CCCAAAAAGGGACGGAAUUGUCCCAAAAUGGGAUCAAAACACUCAAAAAGGGGUGGAAUUGUCCCAAAAAAGGCGGAAUUGUCCCCAAAGGAGGGAGCAGGAGGAGCUGCAGAAACGCUGGGAAGGGGGAAAAGCCACGCUCAGGCAGCUCUGGGGUCCCCAGGAGACACCCCGGGAUUGAGGAGGGGGAAAAAUGGGAUAAAAGUGGAAUUUUGGUGGAUAAAAGUGAAAUUUCGGUGGAUAAAA